This 501-nucleotide ribosomal RNA is filed under the name uncultured bacterium. RNAcentral describes it as "bacterial SSU rRNA". It matches the Rfam family "Bacterial small subunit ribosomal RNA", at positions 791 to 1296 of the family's 1533-position model. The record is from RNAcentral.
UAGUCUACGCCGUAAACGAUGGAUACUAGCUGUUCGGAACUUGUUUCUGAGUGGCUAAGCGAAAGUGAUAAGUAUCCCACCUGGGGAGUACGUUCGCAAGAAUGAAACUCAAAGGAAUUGACGGGGGCCCGCACAGGCGGUGGAGCAUGUGGUUUAAUUCGAUGAUACGCGAGGAACCUUACCAGGGCUUAAAUGUAGAUUGCAUUAGGUGGAGACACUUAUUUCUUCGGACUAUCUACAAGGUGCUGCAUGGUUGUCGUCAGCUCGUGCCGUGAGGUGUCAGGUUAAGUCCUAUAACGAGCGCAACCCCUGUUGUUAGUUGCCAGCGAGUCAAGUCGGGAACUCUAACAAGACUGCCAGUGCAAACUGUGAGGAAGGUGGGGAUGACGUCAAAUCAUCACGGCCCUUACGCUCUGGGCUACACACGUGCUACAAUGGUCGUGACAAAGAGUUGCUAGUCUGCGAAGGCAAGCCAAUCUCAUAAACGCGGCCUUAGUUCGG